AAUUCCUUUUGGAAUAGGCUUGUCGGGCGGCAUUGGGGCUCUCUUUCUGGAGAGACCCGAUCCCGUUCUAGUACCGAAGCAUCACAAGUCGAGUGCUCUGGUUGCGUGUAAAAGCGUAGCUAGGGCAUUCGUAAUGUGACGCGCUACUCGUAUAUCAGAGUGAGCUGCCAAAUGGCGUCCAACUUGACUUCUAUGAUGUACUGGAAACAUCAAGACGUGUAUAACAGCGUGUCUUUGGUGUAUCCUAUUCGUCUUGUCAGACCGGUUCGUCGCUCGCAUCUGAAUAAUGGGGUUCGUUGUCUAUGCCAUACCUUUCGGGGUGAGGAAGACGACGGUGCGUGUCUUGAUCUUCUCAACCUGAACUCAGUCGUGAUUACCCGCUGAACUUAAGCAUAUCAUUUAGCGGAGGAAAAGAAACUAAAAAGGAUUCCCUUAGUAACGGCGAGUGAAACGGGAAGAGCCCAGCGCCGAAUCGUUCAGUCUUUGGCUGCUUCGAAAUGUGGCGUAUAGGUGUAGUCUUCUAGCAGUAUCGUAUGUCCGAAGUCCUUACGAUUGAGGCCAUAAACCAGAGAGGGUGCGAGCCCCGUUCUGGAUAGCGAUGCUGUUGGUUUGGCUGCUCCUUGGAGUCGGGUUGCUUGAAAGUGCAGCCUAAAGUGGGUGAUAAACUUCAUCUAAGGCUAAAUAUCGACUCGAUUGCGAUAGCGAACAAGUACCGUGAGGGAAAGUUGCAAAGGACUUUGAAGAGAGAGUUCAAGAGAACGUGAAAUCGUUGGAGUGGAACCGGAGACAGUUGAUGUUGCUUGGAGACAAGUUUGGUGACUGGUCGCUUAGUUGUGAUCGUUGCCGGAUGUCGUUUCCUAUGCUACGCCGACGGCGUUGGCUGCUCGUUCUGGCCCGAUAAUGUUGCCCAGCUCGCAAGAGUCGGUGUCUUGUUGUCGGUAGUUGGUUCGUGGCGGCUAGCGUUUAGUUACGCUAGUGUGUGUGACGUCGGUGUGAAAGUCGACGACGUUUCCGACCCGUCUUGAAACACGGAUUGCGGAGUGCUUGUCUACUGCGAGUCAAAGGGUGUUAAAACCUUGCGGCGAAAUGAAAGUGAAGGUCAGUCUUGAAUUGGCCGACGUGGGAUCUGCGCUCUUCGGAGUGUUGCGCACCACGGCCCUAUGCGUGUCACUUGUGACUGUGUAGAGGUUGAGCAGUUGGCAAACGACCCGAAAGAUGGUGAACUAUGCUUGAGCAGGAUGAAGCCAGAGGAAACUCUGGUGGAAGUCCGUAUCGGUUCUGACGUGCAAAUCGAUCGAUAGACUUGAGUAUAGGGGCGAAAGACUAAUCGAACCAUCUAGUAGCUGGUUCCUUCCGAAGUUUCCCUCAGGAUAGCUGGAUCUCUGGCAGUUAUAUUCGGUAAAGCUAAUGAUUAGAGGCCUUGGGGGCGUAAUGCCCUCAACCUAUUCUCAAACUUUCAAUGGAUAUGAAGUUGCAGUUUCUUUAGUGAACUGUCAACGUGAAUGCGAGGUCCAAGUGGGCCAUUUUUGGUAAGCAGAACUGGCGCUGUGGGAUGAACCAAACGUGGAGUUAAGGUGCCUAACUUCUCGCUCAUGAGACCCCAUAAAAGGUGUUGGUUGAUAUUGACAGCAGGACGGUGGCCAUGGAAGUCGGUACCCGCUAAGGAGUGUGUAACAACUCACCUGCCGAAUCAACUAGCCCUGAAAAUGGAUGGCGCUUAAGCGAGAGACCUAUACUCCGCCGUUGCGACAUGUGCGUUGUCUAGCGCCAGGUCGUAACGAGUAGGAAGGUCGUGGCGGUUGCGUUGAAGGCUAUGAGCGUGGGCUCGGCUGGAGCUUCCGUCAGUGCAGAUCGUAAUGGUAGUAGCAAAUAUUCAAGUUCGAUCCUUGAAGACUGAAGUGGAGAAGGGUUCCACGUGAACAGUAGUUGGAUGUGGGUCAGUCGAUCCUAAGGUACUGGCGAACGCCUUGUAUCAUCGGUGGCGAAAAGCUUGCUUUUGGUCCCCGUUUGUCGAAAGGGAAUAGGGUUAAUAUUCCCUAACUGAGAUGCAAAGAUUGUGUUCUUCGGAGCACAAGCGCGGUAACGCAUUCGAACUUGGUUAGUCGCUCAAAGACCGAGCUAGAGUUUUCUUCUCUAGUUAAGGAACGGACUCCCUGGAAUUGGUUCAGCCAGAGAUGGGGACGUUGUUUCCGAAAAGCACCGCGGUUUCUGUGGUGUCUCGUGCUCUUUGAACGGCCCUUAAAACACCAAGGGAGGCUAUUAAUUUGCACUCAAUCGUACCGAUAUCCGCAUUAGGUCUCCAAGGUGAACAGCCUCUAGUCGAUAGAAUAAUGUAGGUAAGGGAAGUCGGCAAACUAGAUCCGUAACUUCGGGAAAAGGAUUGGCUCCAGUGGUUGGAACGAUUGGCCAGUUGGUUGAUGCUUGUCCGGCGCUAUUCUGUCUGCUUGAUGCCUUCGGGUUGAUGGCGGACUAGUGAUAGUGCUUGCUUGUGGACGCUUUCUGGUGUGUGCUUGGACCUCGGUUCUAGUAUCCUGAUCGUUCAUCUAAACAACCGUACUGGAACCGGUACGGACUCAGGGAAUCCGACUGUCUAAUUAAAACAGAGGUGACAGAUGGUCCUUGCGGACGUUGACUGUCACUGAUUUCUGCCCAGUGCUCUGAAUGUUAAAUCGUAGUAAUUCGAGUAAGCGCGGGUAAACGGCGGGAGUAACUAUGACUCUCUUAAGGUAGCCAAAUGCCUCGUCAUUUAAUUGUUGACGCGCAUGAAUGGAUUAACGAGAUUCCUACUGUCCCUAACUACUAUCUAGCGAAACCACAGCCAAGGGAACGGGCUUGGCAAAAAUAGCGGGGAAAGAAGACCCUGUUGAGCUUGACUCUAGUUUGACAUUGUGAAGAGUCAUGAGAGGUGUAGCAUAGGUGGGAGACUUCG
Molecule: ribosomal RNA, 2929 nt
Filed under: Caenorhabditis remanei
Lineage: Eukaryota; Metazoa; Nematoda; Chromadorea; Rhabditida; Rhabditidae
Description: eukaryotic LSU rRNA
Rfam family: Eukaryotic large subunit ribosomal RNA (bases 354-2929)
Source: RNAcentral